AGACUUCUCUUAAUCAUCACGUCUUAAUUACAUCCUGCGCCCGUAUAGGAGGAUAUUUGUCUUGCUGUUAUUUCCCGCAACGCCUUACUGACUGAUACUGAUAUGUACCAUAUAUACUUCAAAGGAUCAUGCAUAGGUCUUGAAUGAGAACGAUACUAGUUGAUUAGUUUCUCUGGACUGGAAUCAUCCCGGUGCCUAUAACCACUGUCACUCCUAUCACUCACCUUCGCGCACAGUUCUGCACUUAAUGACUGACGUGCAAUAUCAAGAGUCAGCCUCUCUCAAAUGAUGGACAGUACGAUGAAGAGCAUGUCGUUAACUGAGAGUAAGUUUCCUAU
Cephus cinctus (wheat stem sawfly) is the source of this 338-nucleotide long non-coding RNA. RefSeq lists it as uncharacterized. The record is from RefSeq and is a predicted model, not a curated record. The transcript is spliced from 3 exons. Lineage: Eukaryota; Metazoa; Arthropoda; Insecta; Hymenoptera; Cephidae.